This 1076-nucleotide unclassified non-coding RNA is filed under the name Agrilus planipennis (emerald ash borer). RNAcentral describes it as "probable cysteine--tRNA ligase, mitochondrial, transcript variant X2". The record is from RNAcentral. Lineage: Eukaryota; Metazoa; Arthropoda; Insecta; Coleoptera; Buprestidae.
ACAAUUAAUAAACCCCAAAAGAAUGAAAAACAAUUUUGAGAGGAGAAAACGAAUACCGUAUUUGUUCACAGAUACACAAAUUUUCACAUUUGUAACGUAGUUGGGUUCAAGAGACACUUUAAAAUGGUGAAAACUUUGUCUGUGGUAAAAACAGUUAGGUUAAGAAUGAUUAAAGUUUUUGAAAAUAAUUUUAUUUAGAAAUUUUUAUUAGUUUAAUGUUCCAUGUGCUAUAAAGAUCUCUUGUAUUUAUUGAAAUCAAACACUAAAUUCUAUCCUUUAAAAAUAUAACUAUUUAAGAGAAUAGGAACAAAACUUCAGAAUGGCCUUUGAUAAGAAUACGUCGCAUUUAUGUCCAAUUGCAAAAGAUGCUACAUUAUUAGGGCAAAAUUUAACUCAAUCAACAAGUAUGUCCAUACCCCUAUUGCCAUAUCCAUCUGAUCUAUUUGAAGAGUUUCUGCAUAAAUAUACGCCAUCAGAAUGGCAUAAAAAAAUUAGUUAUCUUGAUAAAAACUAUAUCUAUUUUCAAAUGCACCCAGAAUCUGAAGAAUAUAAGAGAAUUAAAGAUGAAUUUCAGUACAGUUGUAAAUGUAGUCAACUAAAACUAAAAAAAAUUGAGCGCGUUCAGCAUCCAUUUGCCUAUUUCAGUUUUCUUAUAAGAUGUCAACAAAUUCGUGAAAUGUGUAAAUGUGAACCAGAGAAAGAAUAUUUAUUCCAUUAAAAAGGAAUUUAUUUGAUGAUGAAUUGAUAUCAUACAAUGGCGAUUUUAGAAGAAUUAAAGAAAAUAGAGAAACUAAAAGGGGCUAUGUUGUUGUUGUAAUGAAAAUAUUAAGAGAUUACAAAUGCAGUUCGUUCCCAAUUAUUUAUGAGGAAGUAAGGGAUCAUGAAAAAUAUCCGGAGUACCUGAUAACAUUAGAAAUGGAUGGAAGUAAUGUAACUGGUAUUGAUGAUACAAUAGAUGUAGAAAAUUACUUUUCCGGCUCUACUAAUAAUUUGGGUUCAAGUCUUUGCAUCUCUAAAUAUUUAGAAGACUUUUACGAGUUAUUUGAUGUUUUCACGGACACCAAAGGUGAAUUACU